UUCAUAAGAUGACUGAAGCAAGUACUGC
This 28-nucleotide transfer RNA is filed under the name Frontopsylla elatoides elatoides. RNAcentral's name for it is "partial tRNA-Lys". The record is from RNAcentral. Lineage: Eukaryota; Metazoa; Arthropoda; Insecta; Siphonaptera; Leptopsyllidae.